AGUGAACGCUGGCGGUAGGCCUAACACAUGCAAGUCGAACGGCAGCACAGUAAGAGCUUGCUCUUACGGGUGGCGAGUGGCGGACGGGUGAGGAAUACAUCGGAAUCUACUUUUUCGUGGGGGAUAACGUAGGGAAACUUACGCUAAUACCGCAUACGACCUACGGGUGAAAGCAGGGGAUCUUCGGACCUUGCGCGAUUGAAUGAGCCGAUGUCGGAUUAGCUAGUUGGCGGGGUAAAGGCCCACCAAGGCGACGAUCCGUAGCUGGUCUGAGAGGAUGAUCAGCCACACUGGAACUGAGACACGGUCCAGACUCCUACGGGAGGCAGCAGUGGGGAAUAUUGGACAAUGGGCGCAAGCCUGAUCCAGCCAUACCGCGUGGGUGAAGAAGGCCUUCGGGUUGUAAAGCCCUUUUGUUGGGAAAGAAAAGCAGCAGGUUAAUACCCCGCUGUUCUGACGGUACCCAAAGAAUAAGCACCGGCUAACGUCGUGC
Molecule: ribosomal RNA, 493 nt
Filed under: uncultured bacterium
Lineage: Bacteria
Description: partial 16S ribosomal RNA
Rfam family: Bacterial small subunit ribosomal RNA
Source: RNAcentral